RNAcentral lists this non-coding RNA (48 nucleotides) under Trichobilharzia regenti. The record is from RNAcentral. Lineage: Eukaryota; Metazoa; Platyhelminthes; Trematoda; Strigeidida; Schistosomatidae.
AUCCAGAUGACGAGUCUCAACCAGGACGAAAUGUGCGUUAUCCUGGAU